GACGAACGCUGGCGGCGUGCCUAAUACAUGCAAGUUGAGCGAUGAAGAUUGGUGCUUGCACCAAUUUGAAGAGCAGCGAACGGGUGAGUAACGCGUGGGGAAUCUGCCUUUGAGCGGGGGACAACAUUUGGAAACGAAUGCUAAUACCGCAUAAUAACUUUAAACAUAAGUUUUAAGUUUGAAAGAUGCAGUUGCAUCACUCAAAGAUGAUCCCGCGUUGUAUUAGCUAGUUGGUGAGGUAAAGGCUCACCAAGGCGAUGAUACAUAGCCGACCUGAGAGGGUGAUCGGCCACAUUGGGACUGAGACACGGCCCAAACUCCUACGGGAGGCAGCAGUAGGGAAUCUUCGGCAAUGGACGAAAGUCUGACCGAGCAACGCCGCGUGAGUGAAGAAGGUUUUCGGAUCGUAAAACUCUGUUGGUAGAGAAGAACGUUGGUGAGAGUGGAAAGCUCAUCAAGUGACGGUAACUACCCAGAAAGGGACGGCUAACUACGUG
RNAcentral lists this ribosomal RNA (497 nucleotides) under uncultured bacterium. Its description in RNAcentral is "partial 16S ribosomal RNA". It matches the Rfam family "Bacterial small subunit ribosomal RNA", at positions 28 to 507 of the family's 1533-position model. The record is from RNAcentral.